ACUGGGUUGGCCGAGUGGUUAAGGCGUUGGACUUAAGUUCCAAUGGACAAGUGACCGCGUGGGUUCGAACCCCACACCCAGUA
Molecule: non-coding RNA, 83 nt
Organism: Ciona savignyi (Pacific transparent sea squirt)
Lineage: Eukaryota; Metazoa; Chordata; Ascidiacea; Phlebobranchia; Cionidae
Source: Rfam